RNAcentral lists this ribosomal RNA (354 nucleotides) under uncultured bacterium. Its description in RNAcentral is "bacterial SSU rRNA". It matches the Rfam family "Bacterial small subunit ribosomal RNA", at positions 8 to 350 of the family's 1533-position model. The record is from RNAcentral.
AGAGUUUGAUCAUGGCUCAGGAUGAACGCUAGCUACAGGCUUAACACAUGCAAGUCGAGGGGAAACGACAUCGAAAGCUUGCUUUUGAUGGGCGUCGACCGGCGCACGGGUGAGUAACGCGUAUCCAACCUGCCCACCACUUGGGGAUAACCUUGCGAAAGUAAGACUAAUACCCAAUGACGUCUCUAGAAGACAUCUGAAGGAGAUUAAAGAUUUAUCGGUGAUGGAUGGGGAUGCGUCUGAUUAGCUUGGUUGGCGGGGUAACGCCACCAAGGCGACAAUCGAGUAGGGGUUCUGAGAGGAAGGUCCCCCANAUUGGAACUGAGACACGGUCCAAACGUCCUACGGGAGGCA